Molecule: ribosomal RNA, 1550 nt
Filed under: Providencia rettgeri
Lineage: Bacteria; Pseudomonadati; Pseudomonadota; Gammaproteobacteria; Enterobacterales; Morganellaceae
Description: partial 23S ribosomal RNA
Rfam family: Bacterial large subunit ribosomal RNA
Source: RNAcentral
GAGGUAUGCUGGAGGUAUCAGAAGUGCGAAUGCUGACAUAAGUAACGAUAAUGCGGGUGAAAAACCCGCACGCCGGAAGACCAAGGGUUCCUGUCCAACGUUAAUCGGGGCAGGGUGAGUCGACCCCUAAGGCGAGGCAGAAAUGCGUAGUCGAUGGGAAACGGGUUAAUAUUCCCGUACUGGUGAUAAUUGCGAUGGGGGGACGGAGAAGGCUAGGCUAUCCGGGCGACGGUUGUCCCGGUUUAAGGAUGUAGGCAGGUGAAUUAGGCAAAUCCGGUUCACUAUAUGCUGAGGUCCGACGACGAGUCACUACGGUGAUGAAGUAGCUCAUGCCCCGCUUCCAGGAAAAGCCUCUAAGCUCUAGAUUAUCAUUAAUCGUACCCCAAACCGACACAGGUGGUCAGGUAGAGAAUACUCAGGCGCUUGAGAGAACUCGGGUGAAGGAACUAGGCAAAAUGGUGCCGUAACUUCGGGAGAAGGCACGCUGGCGCUAGGUGAAGUCCCUUGCGGAUGGAGCUGAAGCCAGUCGCAGAUACCAGCUGGCUGCAACUGUUUAUUAAAAACACAGCACUGUGCAAACACGAAAGUGGACGUAUACGGUGUGACGCCUGCCCGGUGCUGGAAGGUUAAUUGAUGGGGUUAUCCGUAAGGAGAAGCUCUUGAUCGAAGCCCCAGUAAACGGCGGCCGUAACUAUAACGGUCCUAAGGUAGCGAAAUUCCUUGUCGGGUAAGUUCCGACCUGCACGAAUGGCGUAAUGAUGGCCAGGCUGUCUCCACCCGAGACUCAGUGAAAUUGAACUCGCUGUGAAGAUGCAGUGUACCCGCGGCAAGACGGAAAGACCCCGUGAACCUUUACUAUAGCUUGACACUGAACAUUGAGCCUUGAUGUGUAGGAUAGGUGGGAGGCUUUGAAGUGUGGACGCCAGUCUGCAUGGAGCCAACCUUGAAAUACCACCCUUUAAUGUUUGAUGUUCUAACGUAGCCCCGUUAUCCGGGGUGCGGACAGUGUCUGGUGGGUAGUUUGACUGGGGCGGUCUCCUCCCAAAGAGUAACGGAGGAGCACGAAGGUUGGCUAAGCAUGGUCGGACAUCAUGCGGUUAGUGCAAAGGCAUAAGCCAGCUUGACUGCGAGAGUGACGGCUCGAGCAGGUACGAAAGUAGGUCUUAGUGAUCCGGUGGUUCUGAAUGGAAGGGCCAUCGCUCAACGGAUAAAAGGUACUCCGGGGAUAACAGGCUGAUACCGCCCAAGAGUUCAUAUCGACGGCGGUGUUUGGCACCUCGAUGUCGGCUCAUCACAUCCUGGGGCUGAAGUAGGUCCCAAGGGUACGGCUGUUCGCCGUUUAAAGUGGUACGCGAGCUGGGUUUAGAACGUCGUGAGACAGUUCGGUCCCUAUCUGCCGUGGGCGUUGGAAGAUUGAAAGGGGCUGCUCCUAGUACGAGAGGACCGGAGUGGACGCACCACUGGUGUUCGGGUUGUCAUGCCAAUGGCAUUGCCCGGUAGCUAAGUGCGGAAGAGAUAACCGCUGAAAGCAUCUAAGCGGGAAACUUGCC